UUAAACCCAAUUAUAUCUCUAACCACUAUAACCAUUUAACCACUUAGAACUUAUAUACUUGGUUUUAGGUUGGGGCGACCACGGAGCACAACCAAACCUCCACGAUGAACGGAACAACCCCCUUAUCUGAGAAUUACACUUCUAAGAAUUAGCACACUAACAUAAAAUGACCCAUUAUUGAUCAACGAACCAAGUUACCCUGGGGAUAACAGCGCAAUCCAUUUUAAGAGCCCCUAUCGACAAAU
RNAcentral lists this ribosomal RNA (245 nucleotides) under Mantidactylus catalai. Its description in RNAcentral is "partial 16S ribosomal RNA". Lineage: Eukaryota; Metazoa; Chordata; Amphibia; Anura; Mantellidae. The record is from RNAcentral.